Cyanistes caeruleus (blue tit) is the source of this 2097-nucleotide non-coding RNA. Lineage: Eukaryota; Metazoa; Chordata; Aves; Passeriformes; Paridae. The record is from RefSeq and is a predicted model, not a curated record.
CUCGGCCCGGGGCAGCGGAGACACGGGGCUCUUUCUGUGACUUCUCAGCGACAGUCGUGUCUUCAGCAUGCUCCUGUCCACAGGAGAAGCCCCACUCAGGGCAUUGUUCUUCCUUCCCCUUAGUUUAAGUUAGAAAAGGGCAUUUUUCUAAAGCCAUAAGGAUCAAACCCGGCUGUUCGUGCUUCCCGGGAUUGCUCCGGGCGCUCCACAGAAGCCCUGCCGAACCUGUGUGUGCCAGGCCAGACCAAAACCUCAGCUCUGGCUAUACCAGCGCUUGAGCAUUUGAAACUGGGGCCCCUGUUGGCACUGGGCUGUGCAGUUUUGCCCCUUUCAGUUGCAAGGCUGAGCAGGAUUGGCAAGAGUUAGAUGGAAAAAGCCUGCAUAUUAUUUCAUAAAAAUUCAGCUAUAUUGUCUGGAAACCAUCGUCUUCAAAGUCAGCCUCACAUGUGCCUCCUUACAGUCCACAGCCAUUUGAACAUGUGUCAAGCAUAACCUAAGAUUGAAACAGAUGCUGGUUGCACUUGUCAGGAUGAUAAAAAUCCAAGACACUUGAAUUUGUUGUAAGUUCUCUGUAAGAAGUGUUGUGAAAACUGGCACAGAAGCAUUGCUGGUGUUUGAUGGGUAGUAGCCAGAAAACUGGCACCCAAGGGAGCAUUGCUGGUAUUUGAUGGGUAGUAGUCACCACUUGAUUGGUAUUGUACCUGGAAUGGAUGAUACAAAUGUUCCUGUAAUCUUUUCAGAACUUUUUAGUACUUUAGCGCUUACUCUUAAAUAUAUUUAUGAAUUUACUGCCCAGAUAAAAGCACAGUACUGCCGAUAGAUGAAUUUUACCUGUACAUUCCUACAUUUUCGUUUUGUUGGGGUGGUGGGAAGGAUUAUUCUUGACAUGGACAUAUUUGAGUAUGUCAGGAUAGCCAUGUGUGGUUAUGGUAUUCUCCAUACAGGAACCAACUUCAGCUAUAAUGCUACAGCAACUCCAUCAGCAGAAGAUAUUAAGUUCAUGAGCAGAAGUUUAAACUAAACUACUUUUAUCCUCUCAAAGGCCAAGAGCCAGAUGUGACAAUGUGUCUCUUCUGAUUGGAAGCAGCUCCAGUGUCAGGUCAGGGGAGGUAGGUGGGGCUGAUUGCUUUUAUCUUAGGUACAGCAGAAAGAAAAGCACCAAAUACAUAGCAAGCUCCCUGUGGUUAAUUAACACUGUUAACUGAAUUUCAAUGGGCUUUGGAUGGGGCUAUAUCUUCUUAUUGCUGGUACUAGCCGUAAAUGCCCAACAGCUGACUCUCUAGAGAAAAAUAUAGAGAAAUAAAGCUAUAGCUCAUAAGCCUAUUGAAACAAGUUAAUGCGUAUGGACAAUAGUGUUCAUAGCAGAAUUUUCUAGAGAUGGAAAUAUUUUAUGCAAUUAACCAGACCAGAAAACAAAUUAGAAAGCCAUUAAAAUUCUUCAGCUGAAAAUGAUGCUGUUGUUAAGAAGUGUGCUCUUCUUUGACACAAUUGUUUUGUGUGUAUUUUUGUUCAGUUAGAUAUGCCAACUUAUAUGAAAAGACAUUUUUCAUCCCUAAGCAGUGAAAAAACUGAUAAGUUAAUGAGAAGAAAACAGAUUCUCCUCAAGCUCAUUCAGGUAAAUGGAAUGGGGGAAAGGUGUAUCUGUUUCAAUGAUGAUAGCAUGCUGGGACAGCUGCUAAGGUGACCAUCGUCUUAACCAUAUAUGAACAUGAAAGUUUCAACUAUCAAAUCUCAUUGCAGGCUGUAGAGCUGGCUGUGGAUGUUAGGAGAGAACUGUAUGCUUGUACUUAGCAUGUUUGAUCCUGAAAUCACACAUGCACAAAAAAUACAGGAUCCCACACUGCCAUUUUCAGUGUCACUUUCCAAAGAAGAGCUGUGCUUUAACAAGGUUUAAACUGCAGUUUGAAUGUUUUCACUAGUGUUUUACAAUGUUGCCACUUUGCCUUUGGGAAUUAGUUAAGAUGUGCUUUUGCAGAGCGUAGAAUCAUAGGCCAAGGCAGUAAACCCUGUAAUAAACACUUGUCCAUGCUACAAGAGAGUUGUUCUCAGCAGUGUUUAAAAGAACCACGUUUGUGACUACAUGCCAUACAGAGAAGG